CAAUGGGGGCAACCCUGAUCCAGCCAUGCCGCGUGUGUGAAGAAGGCCUUUUAGUUGUAAAGCACUUUAAGCAGGGAGGAGAGGCUAAUGGUUAAUACCCAUUAGAUUAUUGACGUUACCUCGCAGAAUAAGCACCGGCUAACUCUGUGCCAGCAGCCGCGGUAAUACAGAGGGUGCGAGCGUUAAUCGUGAAUUACUGGAGCGUAAAGCGAGUCUAGGUGGCUGAUUAAGUGACAUGUGCAAAUCCCCGGGCUUAACCUGGGAACUGCAUGUGAUACUGGUGGUGCUAGAGAUAUGUGAGAGGGAAGUCGAGAAUUCCAGGUGUAGCGGUGAAAUGCGUAGAGAUCUGGAGGAAUACCGAUGGCGAAGGCAGCUUCCUGGCAUAAUAUUGACACUGAGAUUCGAAAGCGUGGGUAGCAAACAGGAUUAGAUACCCUGGUAGUCCACGCCGUAUACGAUGUCUACUAGCCGU
This 472-nucleotide ribosomal RNA is filed under the name uncultured marine bacterium. RNAcentral's name for it is "bacterial SSU rRNA". It matches the Rfam family "Bacterial small subunit ribosomal RNA", at positions 369 to 823 of the family's 1533-position model. The record is from RNAcentral.